RNAcentral lists this ribosomal RNA (400 nucleotides) under uncultured bacterium. Its description in RNAcentral is "bacterial SSU rRNA". It matches the Rfam family "Bacterial small subunit ribosomal RNA", at positions 29 to 415 of the family's 1533-position model. The record is from RNAcentral.
AACGAACGCUGGCGGCGCGCCUAAUACAUGCAAGUCGAGCGAGAAGACGUAGCAAUACGUUUGUAAAGCGGCGAACGGGUGAGGAAUACAUGGGUAACCUACCCUCGAGUGGGGAAGUAACUAGCCGAAAGGUUAGCUAAUACCGCGUACGCUCCUUGGACUUCGGUUCAGGGAGGAAAGCGAUACCGUGGGUAUCGCGCUCUUGGAUGGGCGUCAUGUCCUAUCAGCUUGUUGGUGAGGUAACGGCUCACCAAGGCUUCGACGGGUAGCUGGUCUGAGAGGACGAUCAGCCACACUGGCACUGCGACACGGGCCAGACUCCUACGGGAGGCAGCAGUAAGGAAUAUUGCGCAAUGGGCGAAAGCCUGACGCAGCGACGCCGCGUGGGGGGAGUGAAGGU